UCGGUGCGAGUGUCGGGUGACGCCACGGGCCUCAUAAGCCCGUCGGCCCCCGUUCGAUUCGGGGCCUCGCA
RNAcentral lists this transfer RNA (71 nucleotides) under Microlunatus endophyticus. RNAcentral's name for it is "tRNA-Met". Lineage: Bacteria; Bacillati; Actinomycetota; Actinomycetes; Propionibacteriales; Propionibacteriaceae. The record is from RNAcentral.